CCUACGGGAGGCAGCAGUGGGGAAUCUUGCGCAAUGGGCGAAAGCCUGACGCAGCGACGCCUCGUGGGGGAUGAAGGCUCUCGGGUUGUAAACCCCUUUCGGCAGGAACGAAAUUGACGGUACCUGAAGAAGAAGCACCGGCCAACUACGUGCCAGCAGCCGCGGUAAUACGUAGGGUGCAAGCGUUGUCCGGAUUUAUUGGGCGUAAAGAGCUCGUAGGCGGCUUCGUAAGUCGGGUGUGAAACCUCCAGGCUUAACCUGGAGACGCCACCCGAUACUGCGAUAGCUAGAGUCUGGUAGGGGAUCACGGAAUUCCUGGUGUAGCGGUGAAAUGCGCAGAUAUCAGGAGGAACACCGAUGGCGAAGGCAGUGAUCUGGGCCAGUACUGACGCUGAGGAGCGAAAGCGUGGGGAGCAAACAGGAUUAGAUACCCUGGUAGUCCACGCCGUAAACGUUGGGCACUAGGUGUGGGUCCUUAUCAACGGGAUCCGUGCCGCAGCUACGACAUAAGUAGCCCGCCGUCGGGAGGUACGGUCGCGACGACUAAACCUACAAGAAGUAGACGGCGUGAGACGNGCCGACGGACGACGACGAGGGAGGUAGG
RNAcentral lists this ribosomal RNA (604 nucleotides) under uncultured bacterium. Its description in RNAcentral is "bacterial SSU rRNA". The stretch from base 1 to 520 matches the Rfam family "Bacterial small subunit ribosomal RNA", at positions 338 to 873 of the family's 1533-position model. The record is from RNAcentral.